Long non-coding RNA from Pistacia vera, 1586 nucleotides. RefSeq lists it as uncharacterized. The record is from RefSeq and is a predicted model, not a curated record. The transcript is spliced from 5 exons. NCBI's taxonomy places the organism in Eukaryota, Viridiplantae, Streptophyta, Magnoliopsida, Sapindales, Anacardiaceae.
UGAUAAAUUGCUAGAGGAAAGGUCACGCCUUAUUUAUGGGCUUUGACUACCAGAUUGACAACUCUAAUUUGAUCAUAAUAACUAUUUACGAUGCUAUGAACAAAGGUUCAUGUAAUAUAGCCCAUCGUCGUAGGAUUGAUUAUCACUUUCAACAGAGGAAAAGGUUUUGACAUUUUUCCACACUUGGAGACACCAAAGACCAUGUUGGUCUACUUUGCCAGUAGUAUCCCUUGUACUUACCACAACAAGUAGUGUUGGAUCAAACGAGGUAUGGAUGGUGUCAUCUAGCCUUACAAACCGUAAUCAAGAUAAUGAAAGUGAAGAAGUAGAAUUAUAUGUAGAUGUUGUAGUCACAUUGUGUGGGGCCAUUGCGUAUGAAACGGAGUUUAGCAUGCAAGGACGUCAACCUAGACAUACAUUUGCACUAAAUUGUCAUGAUUAUAUGGUGGAACUACUAAAUGGUCAUCUUGCAAGAAUGUACAAUAAGUUUCGCAUGGGCAAACGAUGUUUCCAGACCUUAUGUUAUAUAUUGGCACAAGAAGGCGAAUUACGAGUAAUAAGCACAUGAGUAUUGAAGAGCAAGUUAUGAUAUUUUAUACAACAGUAGAGAAAAACAAGACACAUAGUACUUACAUGGAGGAUUACCAACAUUCUAGUGAGACAAUCUCUAGAUAUGUCUAUGCAGUUUGUGAUGUACUAUUAGAGUUGAAGUCAGAGUUUAUCAAGUCGUCUGACUCUAAUGAUGUUCCAUUGGAGAUAUCGACCAACCAAAACUAUUACCCUUUCUUUAAGGAUUGUAUUGGAGCGAUUGUACACAUGUACAUGCUUGGGCACCAAUUGAGGUAGUUGAAAUGUACUAGAAUCUUAAAGGAACAUUGUCGUAGAAUGUGAUGGUUGUAUGUGACUUCAAGAUGUUCACUUAUGUCGUCACUGGUCGGGAAGGAUCUGCCCAUGACUCAAGAAUUUUAAAUUUAGUUCUAGACAAUCCUGAUUCUGGUUUCCCGCAUCCUCCUUCAGGAAAAUAUUACUUAGUAGAUGCGGGUUAUGCGAACAGAGGUGAGUUCCUUGGCCCACAUAGACGAGUUCCCUACUAUGUUCUCGAUGUGUGUCGUAACCUUUCUAGACCCCUUCAGUUGUUUAAUUACAGACAUGCAUCGCUUUGGAAUGUUGUGGAGAGAACCUUUAGUGUUUUUAAAAAAAGGUUUCGUAUUCUUGAUGGCAUGAACAAUUACUCGUUGGAGACGCAAGGUAAAAUUGCUAUGGUAUGUUGUGUAAUUCACAAUUUUAUCAGAAGGUUCAAUAUGCAGACCCUAUUUUAGAAAAGUUUAAUGCCCAUAGAGUUUAUGAGGAAGGAUAUUUUGAUUUAGAAAACGGGGCAGAAACUGAAAGGAAUGGGGCAGGUUCGAAUCAACCGCAUCAACGUAAUACAGACAACAUGGGAACUCUAAGGAAUAAAUAACUAAUGCUAUGUGGGCACAACAUGAAUCCAUGUUGUAAUUGUUAGUUGAAUAUAAGUGUACGAAGGAUUCUAAGGGAUGAUUAUUAGUAGCUUCGUAUUAUUAAUAUAGAUAUGUAUUAAUGCCAUG